UCAAGUCAUAUCUGGGUAACUUAUCAACAGAUUCAAACCCCUGAAAAUAACAGACGUAACAAGAAACCAUGUUUCUAUGAGAAACCACUAAGAAUUUCAACACUAUGGAUUAUGAGACAUACAAUUGAAUUUAGUAAAGAAGCUCGCAGGCGAUCAU
This is a long non-coding RNA of Rhodamnia argentea, 157 nucleotides long. RefSeq lists it as uncharacterized. NCBI's taxonomy places the organism in Eukaryota, Viridiplantae, Streptophyta, Magnoliopsida, Myrtales, Myrtaceae. The record is from RefSeq and is a predicted model, not a curated record. The transcript has 2 exons.